Molecule: ribosomal RNA, 942 nt
Filed under: Mecynotarsus sp. COL1327
Lineage: Eukaryota; Metazoa; Arthropoda; Insecta; Coleoptera; Anthicidae
Description: SSU rRNA
Rfam family: Eukaryotic small subunit ribosomal RNA
Source: RNAcentral
AUGUCUCAUACAAUGCCACAUUAAGGUGAAACCGCGAAAGGCUCANNNNNNNNNNNNNGGUUCCUUAGAUCGUACCACCUUUACUUGAGAUAACNGNNGGAUAGAUUCUAGAGCUAAUACAUGCAAACAGAACUCCGACCGGAGACGGAAGGAGUGCUUUUAUUAGAUCAAAACCAAUCGGUGGCGGUUUCCGUCAUCGUAUAACUUGGUGAUUCUGAAUAACUUUCAGCUGAUCGCACGGUCUCGCACCGGCGACGCAUCUUUCAAAUGUCUGCCUUAUCAACUGUCGAUGGUAGGUUCUGCGCCUACCAUGGUUGUAACGGGUAACGGGGAAUCAGGGUUCGAUUCCGGAGAGGGAGCCUGAGAAACGGCUACCACAUCCAAGGAAGGCAGCAGGCGCGCAAAUUACCCACUCCCGGCACGGGGAGGUAGUGACGAAAAAUAACGAUACGGGACUCAUCCGAGGCCCCGUAAUCGGAAUGAGUACACUCUAAACCCUUUAACGAGGAUCAAUUGGAGGGCAAGUCUGGUGCCAGCAGCCGCGGUAAUUCCAGCUCCAAUAGCGUAUAUUAAAGUUGUUGCGGUUAAAAAGCUCGUAGUCGAAUCUGUGUCCCACGCCGCUGGUUCAUCGUUCGCGGUGUCAAUUGGCGUGUCGCGGGACGUCCUGCCGGUGGGCUUAGCUCGCGAGGGCGGCCCAACUCAAUCCCGCCGCGGUGCUCUUCACUGAGUGUCGAGGUGGGCCGGCACGUUUACUUUGAACAAAUUAGAGUGCUUAAAGCAGGCUAAAACUUCGCCUGAAUAUGUGUGCAUGGAAUAAUGGAAWUAGGACCUCGGUUCUAUUUUGUUGGUUUUCGGAACCCCGAGGUAAUGAUUAUANGGAACGGAUGGGGGCAUUCGUAUUGCGACGUUUAGAGGUGAAAUUCUUGGAAUCGUCGCAAGGAC